CAUGAAUAUGUAGAUAAUCCCCCAUCCACCUAGCUCCCAUAGGCUCUGGAAAGAGAGGGGGUGGGGAGCAGGCGGAGCUGGACGGAGGGACUGAAACUGCCCGGCGAGGAGCUGUGCCAGGAGAAGUGAGUCCCUGUGGAAAACACACACACACAGGCUGGUGCUGUCUGACCAAACUCUGCUGUGAUGAGACCUCGGCAGGUAGCUUAGUAUGGCCAAGGAGUGAAAUCCAUCGUUUUACUGACUAUUGUACAACACAGGUUUUUUUUUUCAGACCAAAGAGAGGCAUUUGGGACAUUAAGACGACGCUUGCCGUUUGUGACCUGAACAAUGAACUCGGCGGGGAAAUCUGCUUUGACACAAAAUUCAAACCAAGUCAACCCAAAAUUCCCUCUCCGCCCUUUCUUUUCCUUUCUUUCUCGCCUGUGUGUGUUUGGGGGGGGCUUGGUCUCCAAAAGUCAGUUUGUAAGUUACUCGUAGCAGAAAUAAACUACAUCGUACAAAUCA
Molecule: long non-coding RNA, 507 nt
Organism: Chinchilla lanigera (long-tailed chinchilla)
Lineage: Eukaryota; Metazoa; Chordata; Mammalia; Rodentia; Chinchillidae
Exons: 3
Source: RefSeq, a predicted model, not a curated record